This 70-nucleotide transfer RNA is filed under the name Capra hircus (goat). It matches the Rfam family "tRNA". From Rfam's summary of the family: Transfer RNA (tRNA) molecules are approximately 80 nucleotides in length. Their secondary structure includes four short double-helical elements and three loops (D, anti-codon, and T loops). Lineage: Eukaryota; Metazoa; Chordata; Mammalia; Artiodactyla; Bovidae. RNAcentral also lists the same sequence under 1 other name. The record is from Rfam by way of RNAcentral.
UCUCAGGUGGCUCAGUGGUAAAGAAUCUGCCUGCCAAGCAGGAAACACAGGUUCAACCCUGGGUCGAGAA